Pelobates cultripes (western spadefoot toad) is the source of this 1212-nucleotide non-coding RNA. Lineage: Eukaryota; Metazoa; Chordata; Amphibia; Anura; Pelobatidae. The record is from the annotation of a GenBank genome assembly.
GUGCAAACGGCUUUUUCUCAAUGUUGAGAGCAGGAGCAGCACCCAUGCACGUCUGUUCAGUAUCUUGGUUGGCCACGCCCCUCGACCACAGUAUUUUUUAUAUCUUCUGUGGAUAUGUUUUCCCCAUUGGGGAUGGAGUUGCAGCACCAUGUUUCUUACAGGAUUUUCUCUGGAGUUUGAUGUAAUUUGCAUAUAACUGUAAAAGGGUGGAACUGUUGUGCUGCCAUGGCCUGUGACCAGGAAAAGGAAAUAAGUAUGAAUAUAUUUUCCCUUUUCCUGUUCAUAUCCAUGGCAGCACAUUGAUUGGAAUACCCAAGUAAUAAGUAAGGGAGAGAGAAAUAAAAACCAGACCUUAAUGAUGCAAUAUACUAAAUUAACAACGCAUACAAUAUUAGAAAACUAAAAACCGCAACCGUCAAGGCAGAUAACACACACCUUUACAAAAAUUAUCAGACUAAACAUCUUGAAUGUCCAAUGCUUAAUAAAUGUAUUAAUCGAGGCCCAAGUAGCAGCCUUGCAAAUAAUAGCUGAAGGGACUUAGGCUAUGGCAGCCCAAAAAAUGUCAAAGGGGCCCAGGGAUGCCAUCAGAAAUUUUUGGGCCCCUGACACAGCUCAAGGGCCUGCCCCCGAGUCCAACCACCGGGCCUAUCCUGAGUCUGCCCACAAGAAUAAAGUAUGUGUGUCUACUGAAUGUGGUAUGUGUUUAGUGGAUGUAGAAUGUGUGUAGGGGAUACGGUAUGUGUUUCAUGGAUGCAGUCUGUAUAGUGGAUGUACUGUGUGUGUAUAGGGACUGCAGAGUAGGUAUAAUGAGCGUUUGUAUCAGGAUAUAUAGUGACUUUAGUGAAUACAAAGGGUGUGUAGUGAAUGUAGUGUUUGUUUUUGACUUCAGAGUAUGUGUUUGUGUAUAGGGACUGCAGAGUGUGUUUGUGUAGUGAAUGCAAAGUGUGCACAGUCACUAUACACACACUACACACACUCUGUAGAGAAUGUAGAUUGUGACUGCUGAGUGUGUUUAUGUAGCGAAUGCAAAGUGUGUGUAUAGCGACUGCAGUGUGUGUUGGUGUAGUGGAUGUAGUGACUGCAGUGUGUGUAGGUAUGUACUGUGUGUUUGUGUAGUGACUGUAUAGGGACUGCAGAGUGUGUUUGCAGUGACUACACACUACACAGAGUGUGUGUGUGUAAAAUAGAGCUACAUGCGAAUAAUGUUUUGUG